This 1246-nucleotide long non-coding RNA is filed under the name Sander lucioperca (pikeperch). RNAcentral describes it as "lncRNA (ENSSLUG00000001539.1)". Lineage: Eukaryota; Metazoa; Chordata; Actinopteri; Perciformes; Percidae. The record is from RNAcentral.
CAAAGAGAAGAAGCCAGACGCUGUAAAUUCAGUCCCGCCCGCUGCUGCCCCACAGAUGAGCUCGGCAGCUCAGUCCGAUUCAGUUCCCCAGGCCGACUCAGACAACCAGCUCAAGACAGCACCUAAAUCAGACACCGCCACCAAACAAUCAGGUUCCAAUCCCACCCUGUUCCAUGAGUUUUGUCCACUCACUACACGCAGCCCCGGAGAGCUGGACUAUGGUUCCGGCCAGGGCGCUCUCUGUUUCAUCAACCCUCUUUUCUUGCAGUCCCAGAACGCUUUGUCCAGACGGCACAUGUUCAAACACAGCCUCAAGGUUCGGAUUUCCACAGAGUCAUCAACCCUGCUUUCGCCCCCACUCGCUCCUCCACCUCCACCACCUCUAAUGCCUAAAACCAAACGACAAUGUAAAGCUCAGAAACAGGGACAAGGAACCGUCCAUCCCUUGAAAGGUCUUUUACAUGAUGAGAACCCAAGUCAGGACACCCCCAGUGAGGCCCAAGUUCAGCCUCCGUCAGUAACUCCUCACCUCCAGCCUAACACACAGGAGCAGGGCCAAACACAAAUGGAACCAAGCCAAAGGGAAGCUGGAAUCAGGGGGGCUACAACUCAGCUACCAACAGUCAUGGAGAAUCUUCCAGACGACUCAGACUACACACAGCCGUCUCCAAUGAUCAAUUUCUCCCAUUCUCCCUCACUCCCUCCUUACCUCUCCCCAUCGGGUUCUCCCAAAGCACCUCCCCUUUUCCCCAAAGUAUCUCCGUCCCUCUUUCCUCAUGACUCUCCUGGUGCUUCCCCCUCCCUCUCGCCUCAUCAAUCCCCAUCUCUUUCUCCCAAGGCUCCCUUUUCCCUCUCUCCAUAUGACUCACCCAGCGCUUCACCCUCUCUUUCACCUUACCGGUCCCCAUCUCCUCCUCAGGUCCCUUUCACUCUCUCUCCCUUCACCUCUCCAUCCUUCCCUCAGCUGGCAAAGCAGGCCUAUCAUACACCUGCUACUCCUUCAAGACCAGAUCAGCAAAGAUCAGAGAGAGAGGCCGAGGAGGAGGGAGCAGGUGCAGAGGAAAAUAAGGAUGAAGAUGAUGAGACAAAUGAGGAACUGCACACAAAGAGGGAAGAGGAGGAUCUGGUUUUACAGACGACUGCUGCUUCUCUAAAUGACACAGACAGCUGUGGUUCCUUCAGCAGUCUUGAGGGAGCAGCAGAGACUCCACCUCACUCACCCCACAAACUGGACAAUGGGACAAGC